This is a long non-coding RNA of Spinacia oleracea (spinach), 547 nucleotides long. RefSeq lists it as uncharacterized. The record is from RefSeq and is a predicted model, not a curated record. Lineage: Eukaryota; Viridiplantae; Streptophyta; Magnoliopsida; Caryophyllales; Amaranthaceae. The transcript has 3 exons.
AUACUACCUUCAACGAUGCCGUUUAUGUAGUUUUAGAGGCAAUCUCCCCUUCCUUCUUUAGCGCCUGACUCUGUGUUCUUUUUUUUCCCUUUUCUCUUUUAUCAAGCUUGUUUUCAAAUCAUUCCCUCUCCUCUUCCCUUUUCAGAUUUGUUUAUGAUAAUUUUGCAGCAAUUAAUCACCCCAAGGAGUAAUGAAGAGGUGAGUUUUGGAAAUAGUGAUGAUGCGAAGAUGAUGGAUAUUGAGGAAGUAGAAGUUGUGGAUGGCCAGGCAUGUUUUAGUAUGCAAAGAAGUAAUAGUGGUCAAGAAAAUUACACUUGAGAAACUGAACAUUUCUAUUUUUGUAAUAUCUAGAAGGAAAUAUGUGGUAAGAGAGCAUUACCGGGUGUUGUUAAUACUUUGUAAUAUUUUGUGUAAGUAUUUGAACAUGUAUUGUCUUAAUUAUGAACAUUGUGUGUCAUGUUUUGAACAUUUCACUUCAAUUUGUGUUUUAGUACAUUUUAGGGUGGAUUUGGAUCUCAAUCUAAGAAAAAGAAAGUAAUAUAUUCGA